This 1786-nucleotide long non-coding RNA is filed under the name Betta splendens (Siamese fighting fish). RNAcentral's name for it is "lncRNA (ENSBSLG00000023412.1)". The record is from RNAcentral. Lineage: Eukaryota; Metazoa; Chordata; Actinopteri; Anabantiformes; Osphronemidae.
AUGAAGCAAAUCAGCUGUCCUCGUAUCUGCGUCAUUAUCCUGAGCGCCGUCGUUUUUACGGCCGUGCUGGUUAUGAACGCUUUGGCCGGAGCAGGCAGAGGGCCUUUCUAUUCCUCCACGGGUAACGUGUCAUCACGCUAUGAGACCAACAUCACUCCAGCCGGCUGGACCUUCUCCAUCUGGGGUGUUAUCUAUACCUGGCUCACAUUGAUGGUCUUAUACCUCACCUCCUACGUGUUCAGGGGGUCCUGGGCUCAGAGUCUGCUGCCCUACACCUUCUAUUUCUGCUGGCUGGCCAACAUGGUGCUGAACAUCGCUUGGCUCCUGCUGUGGGACAGGGAGUUAAUGCUGGCAACUCUGGUUGUAUUAAUCCUCAUGGCCAUUUCCAGCUACAGUGCUUUGUGGUGCUGCUGCUUUGCCACAGAUCACUAUGGACUCUGGUUACAGACGUACCAUCGUAAAGACCUGGCCUGUCUCAGGAUACUGGUGCAGAACGGUUUGGCUCUAUAUGCCACCUGGCUCUCCAUCGCCUCCCUCAUCAACUUUGCUCUGGUUCUCCACAUGUGGGGUGUGGACAGAAGCACAGCAGCAACGGCGUCUCUGUGCAUCCUGUUUGCAGAGGUGAUGCUGUGGUUCAUUCUGGAGAACUGGGUGCUGGACCGUUGGGUGCGUAACAUCCUGACAAUCUACCCUGUGGUGAUCGUGGCUCUGGUGGGAAACGUCUUCAGACACUUCAAUGCAGCGGAUCCCACUCCAAACACUUUGUUCAUGGUUGUGCUGCUGGUGGUGGCGUGUGUCCUGUUGGUUUCCCGUCUAUGCACUGUGGUAUGGAGGAACAUGUGGCGGCCCCUCCACUCCCCCGGUUCAGCCCGGCUGAUGGUGUCGCCCCUCGAUGGCAGCAAGUUCAGGAUGUUUGCUUGAAAACGUACUGCUUGACUCCUGCUCCUCUAGCUCUGCAUUCAGAUGCUUCAGUGCAUUCGCAUCCUUGUUUUAUAUUUUCUCUGACCACUUCAUAUGUUGUGUUACUUUCCUUUAUAUUUUUUUGUGGGGGGAUGAAGCACUUUGUGCUACACUUUAUAAAUGAACAUUAAUUGAUUGAUAGGGAUUGAGAGGAGGUGGAUUUAAAACUGCAAAUGGUAUGUUAAUAUCAUCUAUAUGUAAUGUGCUUUUAUACAGAAUGUGCACAUAACUUUGUAAUACCUUAAAUGUAUUACUGUUUGAUAGAAAGUUUUAACUGAAACAAUGUGUCUACAGUUGAAUUAGGUGUUGGCUUUCUAAUUUUUGCUAAUUAAAGCAUGUGCUUUCACAUACUGUCGUUUGAUUUUGUUGUUACUGUUUCCAGUUCUCCUAAGAUGAAUUUGUGCAGCCACAUGCAGGCCUCCAAAAGCGUUGUGUCCUGUCACUAAUAGGUGACUUCUUCAUUUCGAAAUACUCAUGAUUUUCGCCUUUGCCUUACACACACAUGUUUUUUAUGUUCUGUCCACCCCAUUUAUAGCAAAUAUUAUAAUCAAACACCUGUUUAAUGUCAAUCUUUCUGAAAGCUGGGAUGUUUCAGUUUCUCUAGAUGGUGCUGAUUUAUCUAACUUUUAGAAGUGUUUGUUUUAGAAAUGACAGAUAUGUGGACGAAAGACACACUUUUUAUUUUUUAUAGUGACAUUUUACGUGAAUAGAGUUACUCACUGAACUGUGGCUUAGAGAUUCUCCAGCUCAGCAGAGAUUCUCUAAAUGUCUCUGAUUCCUCACCCGAAGUCUGUUUCCUCUGAUCCUCUGAUGCCGUAGAUGAUUG